RNAcentral lists this unclassified non-coding RNA (3167 nucleotides) under Hevea brasiliensis (rubber tree). Lineage: Eukaryota; Viridiplantae; Streptophyta; Magnoliopsida; Malpighiales; Euphorbiaceae. The record is from RNAcentral.
UGAAGCAGAGACAGAGAGACCUCAAUAACCUUCUUUUCUUUAAUCCUUUCUCUGUUGAUAACAUUGGAAAAAAGUCUCUUUCUACAUACAUAUACGGUCAAAGAUUUGCGCCUCUUCUUGAAGUGAAUAUAUAUCUACAUGGAUGAUGGUCUUGGGAAGUUAAAGAUUGUUCCAGAUCACUUUCAAGUUUCAACUUCUAGCGAGAACACUCCUCAAAGACAAAAUACAUCUAAUCUGCAGCCAAGAAUUGAUAAUUCAGCUAGGUACUCAUUUUUUUUUCCUUGAAGGAAAGGAAAAGUAAAAUAGAAUGCCUAAGAAAUUUGAAUGAUUUCAGUUCAGUUCUUCUGAUUUAGAAUAGGUCCAGUAGCCGUUUCUGGGCUAGAAGACAACUAAAGAGAUCUGCAUUCAUGUUGAAUUUAUUUAGUCUACGGGGGCUGCCUUGGAGUUCUAGCAGCGAUGGUCAGCAAAAGGUUCAAUGAAUAGCCCUUUUGACUUUCUUUUUACCCCUCUCAAAAGGCUGUGACAUGGUAUGAGCUACACAAUGGGCCGUAGCCCUUCCCUUUCAAUAACUCUCAUCAUAAUGGUGAAAACUUCCACCAUAUUGGUGGAUGUGGAGACUCAAACCCCACCCCACUUCUCACACCCUUUAAAGGGCAAAAGGAGACCAACCAAGUUUGGCCUUUUUAACUUUCUUAUUGGUGAUUUUCGUUUGUAUGCAUUCUUUGACCACUAUCAAUUUUUUUAUCUGCAGGUUGAGUUGACUGUAGCGGAGUUAGAAUCCCUUCGGUCAGAACUUGCUGACAUAGAAGAGAGGGAAGCUCACUUGAAAGCACAGUAAGGACAAUUUGAUACAUCAGCUGUGAAACUGUGAUGGCUGGUUUUGCUUAGCAAAUAUUGAGUCUGUUAAUUAUCUAAUUGGCAAUCUGUAUUUUGAUAUCCUAAGCGCUGUGCAAUGAACACCCACAAAAAUGAAGUUAGGCUUGCUGACUAGAACUCCAUUUCUUGCACUGUUGAAAAUGACAAACCCAGUUUUGUUUACAUUGUUUCAUUUUCCAUUAUUGAUCGUCUUCAAUUGUAAAAUGCAAUAACUCCAUUCCAUAUGCUUGUCAAAAAUUACAAAUCCAGUUCUGUUUACUCAAUUGCAUUUUCAAUUAUUGUUUGUUUUCAAUUUUAAAAAGAAAUCAAUUCAGCAUGUUUUGUUUCUGAUUUUUGGUAAUCAUACAUUUCUUUGUUAGAAAGCAUUUCUGUCUUUUUCAUAUCAGUAGUUAGAUCCUGUUUAUACAGGUUGGAACAAGUUGAUGAAAUUCUGCGCUCUGCUCGCUUCUCUGGCUAUUUAUACAUUCGAACAGUAAUGAAUUUCCCCAUCUCACUUGUCAUACUUUCUAUCAAUUUAUACUGCAAUACCUUGUGCACAUUGCCUUUAUAAUAUAUGAUUUUCCUUUAUUUUCCUUUUCCUUUUCCCUUUUUAAAGAGAUGGACAGCUUUACCUGGGGAACCUCCUCCAAUUGAUGAUACUGAAGUUGAUGAUUGGCUUCCUCGUUUUGUUGUCCUUCAUGGGCCCUGCAUCUUCUUUUAUUUGUUAUGCACAGGUAACUGGAUUUCUAGUAAUGCUUCCUCCUAUUAGUUAUAAAUGUCUAGGAAUUGUUGCAUGUGAUGGGAUUUAGUGCUCCUUCGCUCAAUUCCAUAAGAGGAGUACCACCUGUGGUUCUAUGCAGUAAUUUUGGUAAAUUUGUGCACUUGCUAUGCAGCAAUUAGCAGUUUAGCAAAAUCUAUGUGAUAGAGGGCAGCCUCAUUAAUAUUCCUUCCAUUCUUUUUUUCUUCCUGCAUAUUGCCUUCUUUAUAGCAUAAUCAAUUAGUAGUAUGCCGUCGCUUCUCGACUAGUUUUGCUUCUCUUCCUUCAGUAUCUGAACAAAGUUACAUUGGCAUGGGAUAAUAAUAAGAAGAAAAAGAAGAAGAAGAACAACACUAGCUCCAGAAACUCUCAGUUUUUUUGCAUGAGCCAUUUAGUCUGUUGAUGUUAUUGCUAAUUUUUCUAUUAGUUUGCUUCAAUUUCAUUUAGAGUCUGCAAUCAUUUAAUACCUAAAGCUGAUGAUAAAAAUUUUGUUUAGGAGCAGAGUAAGGCAUUGAUUAAUUUUUGCAUAUAAACAUUUUUGUUAAUUCAAAUCAUUUAUGUUGCUUGCUCAUGGAAAUUGAAAUUUAUCCAGAUUUGAGUCCUCAGGAUUCCACUCUACUGUCUGAUAUUGUUGAAGUGGGUUCAUUGCCAAGCUUUACAAGAGAAGAUGAUGAGACACGAUAUUCCUUUUAUAUCUUAACUUGUCAUGGGCUGCGAUAUGAAUGUUCAAGUACUUCUAAAAUACAGGUACUUCCUGUAUUAUUCAUGUACUUUGGACUGUUCCUUCUAAGUAUUUUUCAAUGUUGUGAUUAUUUCACACACGCAAGUAAAUCUUGUUCCUAUUGCUGCUCUUACAUGAAUUAUAUCAUUAUAUACUUUCUUUUUUCGGUGAUGGAUGAGGGGUAAAGAAGGUAAUCCAGUGCCUUCAUAACAAGGUUCCAGUAACAAUUAAGCAUACCAAUUCUCCAUAAUUGUGGGCUAAACAAUAUUAUGGAGGCAGCACAAAAUUUCAAUGGUCUAUGGUUAUGCAACAUGAUUAUCUGGAUUGUUCCAGGUUUUUUGUUUUCAUGCAUGCAUCAUGAAUUGCUUCUUACUUUUUGGUGGUCAUUUAAUGGUUAAGAUAGUGAAAAGUUCUUUACCAUGUUCAUUUGAGAUUUUGAAUUACCUGUACUAUAAUUUGUAGGCAUGUUGGUAUAAUUUGAGAUUCACAGUAAUUUCCCUUCAUUCCUCAGGUGGAUUCAUGGUUGGCAGCAUUACAAACUGACUGCAAGUCAGGUUCUGAUACAAAAGCUCCCAAUGGUUUGAGUGAAAUGUGAAUAAUAUGUGCAUUUCCACGUGUAAGCUGUACAUAUGCAAAAAGUUAGUUGUUAACCUUAGAUCAGUCCAUCUUAGAUUGGAAUGUGAUGACGCUAACCUAUUCAUUCUGUUUUUGUACAUAGAAUGACACAACAAAUAAACAGAAGUUAAUGUCGUAAGAUCAUUUUGGGACAGAACUAUGUUUCACAAGUUCAACUAACAAAAAGCAAUUAUUAUUGCAUCUGGUUGAACCUCUGGA